GCAGACCACGUUAGAACCUCGGCUCCUGGAGUAGCAGAACCUCGGCUUCAAUGGGACCCUCAUUUCAUAAAUGAAGAAACUGAGAUUCAAAGAGGGGAACUACCGAAGGUUACAGAGCGAGUUCGUGGGUAAGCAUGAUGGGGAAACUGAGCCUCACAUGUAUGAAUUCCAGCAUAUAAGCAACAGACUCCAGAUUUGGACAUGUAUAUCUUAUUCCAGGCUUCCCAGAUGACCACCAAGGUGGAAGGGAUGAUGAUGUCCAGGCAGAAGGGAGCUAGGCCGGCCCAGGCUUUUCCUCUAGGCACAGCGGACUCCAGGUUCAGCCUUCCCGGAUGGUAAUGUUGCAUUCUGAAGAGCUACUUUCCCGCCAACUCAUCUCUGGACUUCUCUGGGGCCCAACUCUGGUUUCCUGCCUGCAGGAGGUCCCCUCUGACUUCCGACAGUAGAUGACCCUUCUGACUCACAGUUCUACUGCUGGGAAAUGCCUCCAGAGCUGCUGCCCACCCUCUCUGCAUCCCUCCAGGUCACUGGGUGUUGAGUCAGGGGAAGCAGGGAUACACACGGGCGGGAAACUCAGGUCUCCUAAAUGUCAGAGCCUCAGGACUUCGGCUACUCAGAAGUAGCUCCCUCCUGGGCCACCAGGGAGCAGCAGGGCAGCCAGCAUCCAGACAUCCCCCCUGGGUUCUGCUGCUCAGAGGCUAGAUGGAGAACCAAGGUGGGAAAAAGGCUUAAACCACAGCGUGGGGAGAUUUAGGUUAGAUGGGUCAGAGGAAGUUUAGGACAAGCCUUGCCCUUUUCAGUUUCUGUCCAGCUUCAGCACAGCCACUGCUUCCUCUCUUUGGUUUUUACCCAUCCCCCUCUCUCCCAUCACCUCUAUCCCCUUCCAGCUUUCCUUUCCUUCCCUCCUUCCCAAACCCCAGAGUUUCUCAGGAUUAGCUGCCCGUGUGCCUAUCUCCCCCACCCCCAUGCUUUCCUCACUGUCUCACAGAAACAGGCAAACACACACACAUGCAUACAACCAUGAGCUGGCCCUGAGAGUUCUCUGACUGGACUGGGGUUGGAGCCCCAGCUCUUGUCCUGAGCUGAGGCCCUUCCCCCAGGUAUCUUGGGGCUUCCAUCAUUUCUCUUGACAGGAGCUGUGGGCGUCUGGGCAGAUGGGAACCUGGGGGAGGUGUGGGGAGCCCUCUCUGAGGCAGGAAGCUCCCACGCUACUGUAGUUAAAAUAAUCCGGCAGCAACUUGGGGCAGCCAUCUGGGAUGCCCAGAUCUUCCAGGACACCCAGCUCUCAACAACAACCCUAUAGGAACAAAUCAAAAACCUAAGAGAUACUUAUAGGCCCUGGAAAUGUCUCCCAAAAGUGGCCUGAACUUGAGCCCUGUUUCCUUUUAUCUUCUUCAGGUUAGCACUGGGCAUUGGCAUUUGCAAAAAAACUCUAAGCAUUAAGCAAAACUUGUAGGAGUGGAAGAUACAGCGUUCUGGACCUCCAGUCCUAAUACCCAGCCACACCCCAGCAGCUAUGCAUGGUUCCAUGGGAGAGCAGGCAUAGCCCAUCCUGCUGGCAUAUAGUCCAGCCAUAUCUUCCAAUGCCCACCUGGAGACUAAGCCGAGUUCUGCCCAGCAACAGGAGCUCAGAGCUCCAGAGAGCCUCUCCUGGGGUGCAGACUCAGGAGAUCUUAGCUCAGGAGCAGACUUAGCCUGACUUCCUCUUUUAUAGGAGGAGACAGACUUAGUUACAGAGGAAACCAGAGUUGUUAUAAAUAGCAAGGAAGGGAGAAACCUGCUAUGGAUUACAAACACGCCAUCAAUCUUAAAACAAACUAUUUUUAGUUUCAAAUAAUAACGAGAGUCUAAUUAAUGCUCUGUAUAACUUCAAAUGUGGGAUCUUUAUCUGCCUUUCUACUUUGUGAUGCUUUCUAAUACAGUAUUAGGGCCAAAGGCAGGAAGAGAUGUGGGCAAUUCUCAAUGUUACCAAAUCCUAGAUAUGGAAAGAACCUGAGAAAUUUAGUCCAGCCCUUUCAUUUUCAGUGAAGAAACUCAGGCCCAGAGAGGUAAAAGGACUUGUCCAAAGUUGCAUAGUAAGGUAGGGACUGAGCAGUGACUAAAAGCCUAGUCCCUGUACUCCAGAAGCAGGACAGUUUCCACAGCAGCACAAUAGAACCCAAAGGCUAAACAUCUGUGGUUGGGCAGUUGGUGAGUUUAUAGCCUGGAUAAAAGUCAGGUCUAAGCCAGGUGUGGAGGCUCACGCCUGUAAUCCCAGCACUUUGGGAGGCUAAGGCAGGUGAAUCACUUGAGGCCAGGAGUUUGAGACCAACCUGGCCAACAUGGCAAAACCUCAUCUCUACUAAAAAGUACAAAAAUUAGCCAGAUGUGACGGCACAUGCCUGUAAUCCCAGCUACUCAGGAGGCUGAGGCACGAGAAUCGGUUGAACCCGGGAGGUGGAGAUUUCAGUGAGCCGAGAUCGCACUACUGCACUUCAACCUGGGGGACAAAGCAAGACUCUGUCUCAAAAAAAAAAAAAAAAAAAAAAAAAUUCUGAAUGAAAUAGCAAAAGACAGCCCAGAAGCUGAAGUGUGGUCUUCUGAGUCACCGAGUUUUGGGUUCACAUCCCAGCUCUGCAACUGACUAGCUUUGUAACCCUGGGCCUGUGUGUAACUACUCCAAGCAUCAGCUCCCACAUCUCAAAAUGAGAAUAAUCACACUCACUUCAUUACAGGACUAUUAUGAGGUUUAAAUGAGGUAACGUGGGUCAAGCAUCCAGCACAGUGCUCAGCAAAAAAUAGAUGUUAAUUUCCUUCCCAUUUCCCUCGGAUUCUCUACCCCUUCUUCAAUGGAUUCUUAUCCUCUAACUGGACAGAAGGGCAGAUUUGUCAUAAAGCAGUCACGUGAGGGAUAAGAAGUCUCACAUGAGUGUGAAUGAGGCUGGGGGUGGGGGCGUAGUUUAUGGCAAUGAAGUUUGCAUGGCACAAGUGGUCAGUGUCAGAUCCAGAGGGCGGGAGAAGACAGAUUUGCAGAAAAUUAUCCAUCCUCUGCUAACCACUCAGUGACGGGCCUCGGGGUUCAGGGUCAGUGUUUACAGGGGAGGAGGGAGGCUGGGCAUGCUGGGUCCUCAUUGUACACAAAUACCCCGGGCCUCAACCUCACCCAUGUGCCACACUGUGCCAAGGGUGUUACAUAACAUUUCUCUUUUAAUCCUCACAACAAUCUAUGAGGCAAAUACUGUUCUCGUCCCCAUUUUGCAGAAGAGGAAAUGAGCUCAAAGGUCACUUGGCUAGUGUAUAGUCAUUAGUGCUGUCUCCAAAUAUUUCCGGCUCUCUGCCUUCUGGCACAAGGUAGGACUGCAUGUUCUCACUCUUUGAUGCUAGCUGUGGACAUGUGACCAACUUUAACCAAUAAAACGUGGCGGAACUGAUGUGCGUCAGCUCUAGUGGAAGCAUUAAGACUCUGGCACCCUCACACCUAUGUUGUUCAUAGAGUGUAAAUGAGAAAUAAACUUUUAUUGUUAAACCACUGAACUUACAAGUUGUGUGUUGCCACGGCAAGCCUGGCCUACCCUGACACAGUUAGGAAGAGGCAGAGCCAGAGUUCGGAGGCCUGGUCUGUAAAGAUGCCAGAUGGCGUAAGUACCUUCCAGAGACUGACCUGCUUGCCUAAGACACACAGGAGCCCCUUUUUGGGCUACUUAGAGCCCUGUGGGGCAGGGGAGGAGGGUAGGCAGCCUCCCUACCCUUAUCUCUUUCCCCCCGAUUUGACUGUGAUUUUGCGGGGUUUCCAGGUUGCUGAGCCGGGGGGACUGAAUAAAUGAGUGUGGUUUUGUAUGAACCCUUAGGGGCUCAUAGUCUUCUGGUUGGCUGUGCUGAGCUACUUAUCAGGACUCUCUAGGAGACACUCUGAGAAGUAAUUGGAAAAUUCCGACUUCCUCUCUGCCCAUCACCCAACUAGGAAAUAGUUGGGUAUCAGGACACGCCUGCAUUCACUCCCAAAUCAAAGAUCGACCCUGUCAAGUCACUCUUUGCUUUGGGACUCAGUAACUCCUCUGUGAAAUGGAGCCACUUCAAAGGGUUAGGGUAACUGCUCGGAGAUUCUAGAGGAAGCCCAUUUCGGAUUGUAUAGAUCUUCUCAGAGGUGCCUGCAAAAUAAGAACAGCUACUAUUUCUGAACAUUGUGCUGGGCGUUGCACUAAAUGCUUCAGAUCCAUACAGUCAUGGAAUGCUCACACAACCCAUGGAGGUAGGAACAUAAAGAAAACCAGGACACCAAGAGGGGCACAAGGUCACACUGCAAGUGGUGGGCAGGGUUCAAACUCAAGCAUGCUGCCUGCCAGUUUCGUCCUCUGCUGAAUUACAGGGACGGAAAAGGAUGAAUCUUGUCUUGGCAGCUGCUGAGCUGCCAAGAAAGUGAGCACAGCUCCCUAAGGAAUUAUGUGCUUCACGUGUCUACAUAAAGACUUGCCCAUGAAAGACCCCAGCAGCUUUGUCAUAGGCCCAAACUGGAAACACAACAAAUGUCCAUCGACAGGGGAAUGGAUUAAGAAUCUGUGGUGUAUCAUAUGGUGGGAUACUAUUUAGCAAUAAAAAGGAAUGAACUAUUGAUACAUGAUACAAUAUGGAUGAAUCCCCAAAUUAAUUAUGCUCAGUGAAAGAAGCCAGACCAAAAAGAGCACAUGCUGUACAAUUCCACUGAUAUACAAAUUCUAAAAAAUGUAAACUAUAGUGUCAGAAAGCAGAUCAUUGGUUGCCUGGCAAGGGGAGGGAACUGGGAGGGGUAGGAGGGCAUGAGGGCAUGAGGAAUGUUUUGAGGUGGUGGGUAUAUUUAUUCUUUUUUUUUUUUUUUUUUUGAGACGAGGUCUUGCUCUGUCACCUAGGCUGGAGUACAGUGGUGCGAUCAUGGUUCACUGCAGCCUUGAGCUCCCUGGGCUCAAGGGAUCCUCCCAUCUUGGACUCCUGAGUAGCUGGGACCACAGGUGUGCACUGCACCACCAUGCCUGACUCAUUUUUGUAUGUUUGUAGAGACGGUUUCACCAUGUUGCCCAGGCUGGUCUUGAACUCCUUGGCUCAAGCAAUCUGUCAGCCUCAGCCUCCCAAAGUGCUGGGAUUACAGGCGUGAGCCAUUGUGCCUGGCAUAUUUAUUGUCUUGAUGGUGGUGAUGCUUCCAUGGGUGUAUGCUAAUACAUUUGUCAGACUAAUCAAAUUACACACUUUGAAUAUGUGCAGAUUAUUAUACAUUAAUCAUAUUAAAUACCUCAAUAAAGCUGUUGAAAAGUAACUUGUCCCAACUUCUUCUUUGUUCAAACAGAGGUGCAGAGUGGUUGGUGACUUCUCCUGGGCCAUGAGGACAGUCAGUUAAAGUCCUGGCUACCUAUCCCUGAGCCCACAUAUCCUAUGGCUUCACGGAAGGUCCCACCUCCCAAGAAGGGGCUAGUGGCAGGGAAGUUGAGAAACAGAGAGACGGAAAGGUGGCAUAAAACCAAAGAGGGGGACACUGGAGAGGAGCCAGCAAGAGGCCAGGCUGGGGAUGUCAGAGAAGAGGAAAACAGAGAUGAAGCCACAGGCCUGGGGACAAGGGAAGAUGAGAGACAGGAGAUGGAACCCCUUCCCAGACCUGGUGAUGAGGAGGAGGCUCUGAGCAGUCCUAGCCAGGCCCCAGAGAAGCCAUUCCCUUCCUUUGACAGAUGCCACCUGUGUACGCCCCUGCCCGCGA
This 5698-nucleotide long non-coding RNA is filed under the name Homo sapiens (human). RNAcentral describes it as "non-protein coding lnc-INAVA-1:8". The record is from RNAcentral. Lineage: Eukaryota; Metazoa; Chordata; Mammalia; Primates; Hominidae.